This 2034-nucleotide long non-coding RNA is filed under the name Vitis vinifera (wine grape). RNAcentral's name for it is "long non-coding RNA (VVIN_LNC003570)". The record is from RNAcentral. Lineage: Eukaryota; Viridiplantae; Streptophyta; Magnoliopsida; Vitales; Vitaceae.
AUGAGUAUAGCUCCUCAAAAGGCAGUGAUAGCUGACACCGGAGAAAUUGUAGAAGCCAACAGUGUCCUGGUGGACACAAUCAUCGCUGUUAAGACUGGAGAAGUCAUACCUAUUGAUGGAAUUGUAGUAGAAGGAAAAUGUGAGGUCGAUGAGAAGAGCUUAACAGGAGAGUCAUUUCCAGUGGCCAAACAAAAGGACUCCACUGUUUGGGCUGGCACCAUAAAUCUAAAUGGUAGCAGCUCUCUAUAUCUCCAUUAAUACAAGGAACAAGGAAAAGAGUCGUUUUUCUGAUAAUAAGCAUCUUUCAUUUGAGCAAUUUCAGGUUACAUCAGUGUAAAAACUACAGCCCUAGCUGAGGACUGUGUGGUGGCCAAGAUGGCAAAGCUAGUAGAAGAAGCUCAAAACAGCAAGUCCAAAACUCAGAGGUUCAUAGACAAAUGUACCAAGUUUUACACCCCAGGUCAGUACAUUUCUUUAUAAUCAUAAUUCGUGGGCUCAUUUCCCAAAUAGUGUUCAGAGUAAUUAACAGCAAAACAUGAUGCCUAAAUUUGUGUUCACUCCUUCACCCAAAAUGUAAGCAAGGACAUUAGCUGGUGGUGUAAAUUGUAACUGGGUAAGAUUUUGGAAUAACCUGUAGAUUAACAGUAUCUUUACAUUGGUUUCUCCAGUGGUAGUGCUAAUAUCGGCUGGGCUUGCGGGGAUUCCUGCUGCCUUAAGGGUUCAUGAUCUAAGUCAUUGGUUUCACCUAUCACUGGUUGUACUAGUAAGUGCAUGUCCAUGUGCACUGAUUCUCUCAACGCCAGUUGCUACAUUCUGUGCACUUUCAAAGGCUGCUGUAUCUGGGUUGCUCAUCAAAGGAGGAGAGUAUCUUGAAAUUCUUGCUAAAAUCAGGAUCAUGGCUUUUGACAAAACCGGUACAAUUACAAGGGGUGAAUUUGUUGUUAAGGAUUUCCAGUCUCUGCGGGAUGAUGUUAGCUCCGAUACAUUGCUCUACUGGUAAGGACUCCUCCUGAGAGAAUUUCAUGAAAGUUUGCAGUUACUUGGAAACUAAGACUAGAUGGCAAAAUUUUGAAGGGUUUCUAGCAUUGAGAGUAAGUCGAGUCAUCCGAUGGCAGCAGCUCUUUUUGAUUAUGGACUGUCACAAUCCGUCGAGCCAAAGCCAGAAAAUGUGGAAGAGUUUCAGAAUUUUCCCGGGGAAGGAAUCCAUGGGAAAAUUGAUGGGAAAGACAUCUAUGUUGGAAACAGAAAAAUCGCUCUAAGAGCUGGGUGUGAAACAGGUGAAUGGUUUCACAUUACACAAUGGAAAUGUGCAUCUUUUAUGCUGGUUUUCAUUCCUAGGCAAUAUUUGAAAUAAUUUUGUGUUUAAAUUUUCAGUUCCAACCAUAGGAGAAGACAAGGAAGGAAAGACAAUUGGGUAUGUAUACUCUGAUGCAACUCCAACUGGAAUUUUUACCCUCUCCGACGCUUGUCGAACAGGGGUUGUGGAGGCUAUUAAAGAGCUGAAGUUAUUGGGAAUUAAAUCUGCCAUGCUUACAGGAGAUAGUCAUGCAUCAGCUAUGCAUACACAAGAUCAGGUGCACCUUGCACUGUUGAAUUUAUAUAAUUUGAUUAUCAUGUGUAAAAAAUCAUCAAAAUAUGACUGUAAAAUCCUAAAGUAAUAAGCUAACAAGGCAGCAAAAAAUAUCUCAUGUGCAGCUAGGGCAUACUCUAGAGGUUGUUCAUGCAGAACUUUUACCUGAAGAUAAGGCGAGAAUCAUAAAAGACUUUAAGGAGGAAGGACCAACAGCCAUGAUUGGUGAUGGUGUAAAUGAUGCCCCUGCAUUGGCCACAGCAGAUAUUGGUAUCUCAAUGGGCAUUGCGGGUUCAGCACUUGCGACAGAGACAGGGCAUGUGGUUCUUAUGACAAAUGAUAUUAGAAAAAUACCCAAAGCUGUUCGGUUAGCAAGGAAAACCCACAGAAAAGUAGUUGAGAAUGUCAUUUUAUCAAUCACUACAAAGGCUGCCAUCCUUGCCUUGGCCAUUGCAGGUCACCCG